AUGCUUUCUUUGGCAGCACAUACGCUAAAACUGGAACAAUACAGGGUAGAAUAGCAUGGCCCCUGUGCAAGGAUGACACACAAAUUUGUGAAGCAUUCCAUAUUUUC
Camelus dromedarius (Arabian camel) is the source of this 107-nucleotide small nuclear RNA. Lineage: Eukaryota; Metazoa; Chordata; Mammalia; Artiodactyla; Camelidae. The record is from Ensembl.